This 499-nucleotide ribosomal RNA is filed under the name uncultured bacterium. RNAcentral describes it as "partial 16S ribosomal RNA". It matches the Rfam family "Bacterial small subunit ribosomal RNA", at positions 30 to 523 of the family's 1533-position model. The record is from RNAcentral.
AUUGAACGCUGGCGGCAUGCCUUACACAUGCAAGUCGAACGGCAGCACGGACUUCGGUCUGGUGGCGAGUGGCGAACGGGUGAGUAAUGUAUCGGAACGUACCCUUCAGUGGGGGAUAACUAUCCGAAAGGAUAGCUAAUACCGCAUAUUCUCUGAGGAGGAACGCGGGGGAUCGCAAGACCUCGCGCUGAUGGAGCGGCCGAUAUCAGAUUAGCUAGUUGGUGGGGUAAAGGCCUACCAAGGCGACGAUCUGUAGCGGGUCUGAGAGGAUGAUCCGCCACACUGGGACUGAGACACGGCCCAGACUCCUACGGGAGGCAGCAGUGGGGAAUUUUGGACAAUGGGGGCAACCCUGAUCCAGCCAUGCCGCGUGAGUGAAGAAGGCCUUCGGGUUGUAAGCUCUUUCGGCCGGGAAGAAAUCGCGUGAGUUAAUACCUUGCGUGGAUGACGGUACCGGAAUAAGAAGCACCGGCUAACUACGUGCCAGCCGCCGCAGUAA